Molecule: small nucleolar RNA, 107 nt
Organism: Gossypium raimondii (Peruvian cotton)
Lineage: Eukaryota; Viridiplantae; Streptophyta; Magnoliopsida; Malvales; Malvaceae
Rfam family: Plant small nucleolar RNA R71
About the family: R71 is a member of the C/D box family of snoRNAs containing the C (UGAUGA) and D (CUGA) box motifs. Multiple nearly identical copies of this snoRNA have been identified in Arabidopsis, and it is thought to function as a 2'-O-ribose methylation guide for 18S ribosomal RNA.
Source: Rfam
AACCCAUGAUGAGGGCAGCUUCUCAAAAGAUCUUUAAAUCUCUCCCAUGUAUUAUAUAAUCUCUUCAAUUCAAUUUGAGCAAAAGAAGAGAUAUCAUUCCUUAACUU